GCGGCCGAUAUCAGAUUAGCUAGUUGGUGGGGUAAAAGCCCACCAAGGCGACGAUCUGUAGCUGGUCUGAGAGGACGACCAGCCACACUGGAACUGAGACACGGUCCAGACUCCUACGGGAGGCAGCAGUGGGGAAUUUUGGACAAUGGGCGCAAGCCUGAUCCAGCAAUGCCGCGUGCAGGAUGAAGGCCUUCGGGUUGUAAACUGCUUUUGUACGGAACGAAACGGCUUCUUUUAAUACAAGAGGCUAAUGACGGUACCGUAAGAAUAAGCACCGGCUAACUACGUGCCAGCAGCCGCGGUAAUACGUAGGGUGCGAGCGUUAAUCGGAAUUACUGGGCGUAAAGCGUGCGCAGGCGGUUAUAUAAGACAGAUGUGAAAUCCCCGGGCUCAACCUGGGACCUGCAUUUGUGACUGUAUAGCUAGAGUACGGUAGAGGGGGAUGGAAUUCCGCGUGUAGCAGUGAAAUGCGUAGAUAUGCGGAGGAACACCGAUGGCGAAGGCAAUCCC
This 510-nucleotide ribosomal RNA is filed under the name uncultured bacterium. RNAcentral describes it as "bacterial SSU rRNA". It matches the Rfam family "Bacterial small subunit ribosomal RNA", at positions 226 to 728 of the family's 1533-position model. The record is from RNAcentral.